This 58-nucleotide transfer RNA is filed under the name Chelonia mydas (Green sea turtle). It matches the Rfam family "tRNA", at positions 8 to 63 of the family's 71-position model. From Rfam's summary of the family: Transfer RNA (tRNA) molecules are approximately 80 nucleotides in length. Their secondary structure includes four short double-helical elements and three loops (D, anti-codon, and T loops). Lineage: Eukaryota; Metazoa; Chordata; Testudines; Cheloniidae. The record is from Rfam by way of RNAcentral.
UGGCCUAAUGGAUAAGGCAUUGGCUUUCUAAGCCAGAAAUUGUGGGUUCAAGUCCCAC